CAUCCCGGGGUCUAUGGAGGAGAAGUACUGGCUGGCCGGAGGCUGAACGGGGAUGUGGAUGCCUGACUGACGGUUCGAGCUAACGAUGGACGUGAGAUCUGUCACAGAGCGAGAGAUGAGGGGCUUCAGUCAGCAAAGCACAUGACCAGGGACACUUCGGAGCAAUUUUAAUCCAGAGAUGAUGGAUUGAUCACUUAAAGAGAGCCUCCUUCUCACCCAUAUCACCGCACACGAAAAUAGUCAUUACGCAGGAACUCUCGUACUAAUUUGAGUUUCUGGAAAUGUACUUAACUAUUCACACACACAUUACAAAUAUUUGCAAGAUGUCUGAUUUGUUAGCUUUAAAUAUGUAAUUCGUAUUUUUU
This is a long non-coding RNA of Mugil cephalus (flathead mullet), 365 nucleotides long. RefSeq lists it as uncharacterized. Lineage: Eukaryota; Metazoa; Chordata; Actinopteri; Mugiliformes; Mugilidae. The record is from RefSeq and is a predicted model, not a curated record. The transcript has 2 exons.